UAGAGGGUGUUGAAGAAGGCCUCAGGAUGGAGAGCAGCGGCCGCCCCCACACAGCUCACGGCCAGGGCCUUCACACUGACCCGCACCUCCCUGUCCGGCACCAGCCCUGCAGCACACCCAACGCACAAGCAGUCAGUAGGAAGGAAGCGGCCAGCAGGCGCACACAGUGGACCAGAGGCUCCUCCUUGGGGUCGGUGUAGUGUCCAAUCACCCCUUUGAUCCUGGACGGCUGCGGGACCAACAAGUAUGCUCACCUUGGUCUCUGGGUCGGGGGGCUCCAGCUGCUCAUCCUUUGGUAUGAAGCGGUCCACACUGCUGUCCGACGCCUGCCUGUUGUGACCUUUCCCUUCCAGCAGGUGGGGCCUCGUCAUGGCUUUGGGAGCAGGGAGCAAAGAGAACACACAUUACUUGUGUGAUAUUUGGGACUGAAUUCAUGUCCAAGACAUACUGUUGCUUCACAGACUUUAUUUUCAUCAAGUGGGCAUUUCUAAUGUCACAGAUGAUUGCUGACGUUGGCACACGUACCUAACACGGACUGGGAGAAGGACUCCAGAGGUUCAUCUGGGCCAGGAGCGCCACCCUCUUCCUCCUCAUCUUGUAGUGUUCCAAUCUGCAUCCCUGAAUACUGACUCUCACUACCAUCCAGAACCUUUCACACACACACACACAAAUACAUUUUUACACAACUGACAAAUUCAGACACAGCUAGGUCUAGGCUGAACUGUAUGUAUAAGCUGUUGACAGAAUAACAAAGAUAACCAAACAUUCAUUAAACAGUAACUGACCAUUCA
This is a long non-coding RNA of Alosa sapidissima (American shad), 791 nucleotides long. RefSeq lists it as uncharacterized. NCBI's taxonomy places the organism in Eukaryota, Metazoa, Chordata, Actinopteri, Clupeiformes, Clupeidae. The transcript has 3 exons. The record is from RefSeq and is a predicted model, not a curated record.